Long non-coding RNA from Hypanus sabinus (Atlantic stingray), 1085 nucleotides. RefSeq lists it as uncharacterized. The transcript is spliced from 3 exons. NCBI's taxonomy places the organism in Eukaryota, Metazoa, Chordata, Chondrichthyes, Myliobatiformes, Dasyatidae. The record is from RefSeq and is a predicted model, not a curated record.
UCCACCCCAACCGAAACUUGUACAACCUAGUCUCAAACCCAGAGAGUUCGUCUGAGAACCCCGACAGUGUGCCACCGUAUGUGCUUCAUCUGUACGCCACGUCUCUCAUGUGCUCCCUUCCUCAGACAGUAGUGGCGGAGCAGAGUAACGUCGGGAAAGGAAGAAGUAAGCAGCGCCCGAAGCUGUUUGUUUGCAACGGCACCUGAGCAUCGACAGAGAAGCCAAGGAGCUCAUCUCGCUGAUUUGGUCAUUUCCUCUGUUGCAACCCAACGGCUGACAGCCAUGACGAUGUAGAUUCAAAGCACUAAACUAAAUCAAAGGAAGAUGCGAAAGUCUGAAUUAAGACCUGUCCUGGGCCCAGCAUGUAAGAGAAAUUACAAAGAAAGUAGAAAUCUCCUACUUCCUUAGGAGAUUGCGAAGAUUCACCAUGACAUCUAAAACUUCUAUAGAUGUGUGAUGGAGAGUAUAUUGACAGGCUGCAUCAGAGCUUGGUAUGGAAACAACAAUGUCCUUGCAUGGAAAAUUCUACAAAAUGUACUGGAUACAGCCCAGUCCACCAUGGGUGUAACACUCCCACCAUUUUGCACAUCUACAUGGAGCGUUGUUGCAAGAAAGUAGCAACCAUCACCGGGGAUCCCCACCAGCCAGGUCAUGUACUUUUCUUAGUGCUACCAUUCGGAAGAAGGUACAGGUGCCUGAGGUCUCACACUACCAGUUUCAGGUACAGUUAUAACUACUCAACCAUCAGGCUCUUGAACAGAGUGAAUAACUUCCACUCAACAUCACUUGCCCCAUCACUGAACUGUUUACACAACUUCUGGACUCACUUUCAAGAACUCUUCAUCACAUGAUCUUGAAAUUUAUUGAUUGAUUGGUUUGCUUGUUUAUGUAUUCUCUCUUUUUUCUUUUUGUAUUUGCACAGUUCGUUGUCCUUUGCACAUUGAUUGUCCACCCUGAUGGUGCAGUCUUUCACUGAUUUAAUUAUUGUAAAUUGGAUUUAUUGAGUAUGCCCACAAGAAAAUGAAUCUCAGCAUUGUAUAUGUUGAUGUUUAAGUACCUUGAUAAUAAAUUUGCUUUGAACUUUA